Molecule: long non-coding RNA, 695 nt
Organism: Oncorhynchus tshawytscha (Chinook salmon)
Lineage: Eukaryota; Metazoa; Chordata; Actinopteri; Salmoniformes; Salmonidae
Source: Ensembl
GGGGAAGAGGAAAGAUGAGAGAAUGAUCAGUUGGAAUAGGAUGAUGAAGAAGAGGAAAGAGUGGAAGAGGAGAGGAGGAGGAAGAGGAGAGGAGGCGGAAGAGGAGAGGAGGAGGACAAUGGCGCGGAGUUGGAAGAAGAGGAUGAAGAAGAGGAAAGAGUGAAGAGGAUGGAGAGGAUAUAGUCAGAGAGAGAGAAAAAGAAAGAAAGAAAGAAAGAGAGAGAGAGGAAAGAGUGAAUACCAAAGACAAGAGUAGCACAGAGUAGAGAGGAGGAUGACAAAAUCAUGAAAAGAUGAUCAUAGAGAGAGAGUUGUCUAAAGAGGAUAGAGAGAGAGAGAGAGAGAGAGAGGUGUCUGAAGAGGAGAAAGAGAGAGAGGAGAGAGAGGUGUCUGAAGAGGAGAGAGAGGUGUCUGAAGAGGAGAAAGAGAGAGAGGAGAGAGAGAGAGAGGAGAGAGAGAGAGAGAGAGGUGUCUAAAGAGGAGAAAGGGAGGAGAGAGAGGAGAGAGGCGUCUAAAGAGGAGAAAGGGAGGAGAGAGAGGAGAGAGGUGUCUGAAGAGGAGAGAGAGAGGAGAGAGAGAGGAGAGAGAGAGGAGAGAGAGGUGUCUAAAGAGGAGAGAGAGAGGAGAGAGAGGCGUCUAAAGAGGAGAAAGGGAGAGAGAGAGAGAGAGUCGUGUAAAGAGGAGAAAGGGAGGAG